This 427-nucleotide ribosomal RNA is filed under the name uncultured Lysobacterales bacterium. RNAcentral describes it as "bacterial SSU rRNA". It matches the Rfam family "Bacterial small subunit ribosomal RNA", at positions 353 to 772 of the family's 1533-position model. Lineage: Bacteria; Pseudomonadati; Pseudomonadota; Gammaproteobacteria; Lysobacterales. The record is from RNAcentral.
AGUGGGGAAUAUUGGACAAUGGGGGCAACCCUGAUCCAGCGACGCCGCGUGUGUGAAGAAGGCCUGCGGGUUGUAAAGCACUUUUAGUGGGGAUGAAAAGCUCAGUUCUAAUACAGCUGGGUCUUGACCUAACCCAAAGAAAAAGCACCGGCUAACUCUGUGCCAGCAGCCGCGGUAAUACAGAGGGUGCAAGCGUUAAUCGGAAUUACUGGGCGUAAAGCGUGCGUAGUCGGUUGUCUAAGUCGGAUGUGAAAUCCCCGGGCUCAACCUGGGAAUUGCAUUCGAUACUGGGCAGCUAGAGUUCGGCAGAGGGAAGUGGAAUUUCAGGUGUAGCGGUGAAAUGCGUAGAUAUCUGAAGGAACAUCAGUGGCGAAAGCGACUUCCUGGACCAGAACUGACGAUCAGGCACGAAAGCGUGGGGAGCAAA